RNAcentral lists this ribosomal RNA (497 nucleotides) under uncultured bacterium. Its description in RNAcentral is "partial 16S ribosomal RNA". It matches the Rfam family "Bacterial small subunit ribosomal RNA", at positions 28 to 507 of the family's 1533-position model. The record is from RNAcentral.
GAUGAACGCUGGCGGCGUGCCUAAUACAUGCCAGUCGAGCGAACAGACGAGGAGCUUGCUCCUCUGGCGUUAGCGGCGGACGGGUGAGUAACACGUGGAUAACCUACCUAUAAGACUGGGAUAACUUCGGGAAACCGGAGCUAAUACCGGAUAAUAUAUUGAACCGCAUGGUUCAAUAGUGAAAGACGGUUUUGCUGUCACUUAUAGAUGGAUCCGCGCCGCAUUAGCUAGUUGGUAAGGUAACGGCUUACCAAGGCAACGAUGCGUAGCCGACCUGAGAGGGUGAUCGGCCACACUGGAACUGAGACACGGUCCAGACUCCUACGGGAGGCAGCAGUAGGGAAUCUUCCGCAAUGGGCGAAAGCUUGACGGAGCAACGCCGCGUGAGUGAUGAAGGUCUUCGGAUCGUAAAACUCUGUUAUUAGGGAAGAACAAAUGUGUAAGUAACUAUGCACGUCUUGACGGUACCUAAUCAGAAAGCCACGGCUAACUACGUG